Oncorhynchus mykiss (rainbow trout) is the source of this 1408-nucleotide non-coding RNA. The record is from RefSeq and is a predicted model, not a curated record. Lineage: Eukaryota; Metazoa; Chordata; Actinopteri; Salmoniformes; Salmonidae.
CACAAUAUACGUGACUCAUGACUUUCUGAUAUUCCCGCGCUCAUCAAGCAAAACAAACGUAGCUAACUAGCUAGCGUUAGCUCCUCUUAUAAAUAUAUAUCUUAUAUUCUUAAAUAUUUUAUUUUUUUACAAAUGACAACUGUAACGUUACAUAAAUCUAUAUGGAGGUUGAAACUUUUUGGGGCGUUUUUUUGCCUGGGACCAAAGAAGACGACGGUAAUCCAUGGAAGAUGUUUGAGCCCAGUGAAAGCGCGGGUGAAUUGGUGCUCACCAUUGUGGAAUCCGGUCAUAUGUUGGUGUCCCAAGGUCACGAUCUUCUGGAUGGGUUUUCCUUGCUUGAUGCUCCAAGCUUCCUCAAAGUUCAGCAGAAAUCAGAUACCCUACUUUUCCGUCUGACUGUUAAGGGGGAGAGUUGUUCGAUCGGGAUGCAGUUCAGUGGCAGCAGGGCUGAGGCCCUGGAGGAGCGUGGCAGUGCAGUACUCAGACUGAAGGAGUACCUGCCUGUCACCACACAGGGGGGGCCACCACCACCACUCAGCUGCACCCCAACAUCCAAUCAGCCCCCUACCAAGACCACUGCACAGGAUCAACAGGCGAGUGCUGGGGAGGCUAUGGCUACUGAACCGGAGGUCGUCCAGGGCUCUUUAUCCAUCAAACGUCUUACCCAGCACUUCCUGGGCGAGCAUGGUCUGUCCUUGCCCCUGGUGUCCUUGCCCCUGGUGCCACAGUGCUCUGUUCUGUGGGGAGCUGGAGCCCUUCCUCCGCCUGUGUCUCUUGGACCCCAGCUUCCCUGCCUUGGUGGAGGAGGUGGAAGGGGAGCUGAAGAAAGUGCUCCAGGACUGAGGAGCUAAAGCUCAUCAACACAAACAGCCAGAGGGAGACAGGUCAACUCACUACACACGGGACUCCUGAGAGAACCUGCAAGCCAGACUGUCGUCUUGUGAAACAGUGGAUGUAAAGAAUCUAGCUAGCUAAAGCAUUUACUGCAAAUUCAAUGUACAAUUGUGUUAGCUUGCCUUGCUUAUAUUUGCCAUGCAAUGCAGCUGAAGUAACAUAGCGAGCUAACUAUUUGCUUAUUGUGUAGUGGAAGAUGAAAAUAACUGUAUUCCUAUGAAUGUGUAGCUAGCUACAGUAUGUAGCCGAUCUGUGUAUGGACCCUUAAAAGGUUAGGUUCUGAACUAAUAUUCAUACCAAUGAACCUCAGCUAUCAUAGUUGUAUCAACUUCAAGUCUGAAUGGCAUUAAUGAAGCCUAUGGAUUGAGUAGAAUAUAAUAACUUUAUUGUGCCAAGGAUGCAAGUCCUAUAUACAUGUACUGUUAUUACCAUGCAUGAGAUCCCCACAUUGUAGCCUGUACAUUGACUAUAUUCACUGAUCAUGUACACUUCCUUGGCAAAUAAAGGUGCGGUU